UUCGCCCUUGGUUGAUCCUGCCGGACCUGACUGCUAUCGGAUUGAUACUAAGCCAUGCGAGUCAUUGUAGCAAUACAAGGCAGACGGCUCAGUAACGCGUAGUCAACCUAACCUAUGGACGGGAAUAACCUCGGGAAACUGAGGAUAAUGCCCGAUAGAACACUAUGCCUGGAAUGGUUUGUGUUCCAAAUGAUUUAUCGCCGUAGGAUGGGACUGCGGCCUAUCAGUUUGUUGGUGAGGUAAUGGCCCACCAAGACUAUUACAGGUACGGGCUCUGAGAGGAGUAGCCCGGAGAUGGGUACUGAGACACGGACCCAGGCCCUAUGGGGCGCAGCAGGCGAGAAAACUUUGCAAUGUGCGAAAGCACGACAAGGUUAAUCCGAGUGGUUUGUGCUAAACAGACCUUUUGUUAGUCCUAGAAACACUAACGAAUAAGGGGUGGGCAAGUUCUGGUGUCAGCCGCCGCGGUAAAACCAGCACCUCAAGUGGUCAGGAUGAUUAUUGGGCCUAAAGCAUCCGUGGCCGGCUCUGUAAGUUUUCGGUUAAAUCUGUACGCUCAACGUACAGGCUGCCGGGAAUACUGCAGAGCUAGGGAGUGGGAGAGGUAGACGGUACUCGGUAGGAAGGGGUAAAAUCCUUUGAUCUAUUGAUGACCACCUGUGGCGAAGGCGGUCUACCAGAACACGUCCGACGGUGAGGGAUGAAAGCUG
This 710-nucleotide ribosomal RNA is filed under the name uncultured archaeon. RNAcentral describes it as "bacterial SSU rRNA". It matches the Rfam family "Archaeal small subunit ribosomal RNA", at positions 1 to 713 of the family's 1478-position model. The record is from RNAcentral.